AAGGUGUAUUUUAUUUAAAGAUUUACAAAGAAAUUAACAAUCAAAAGUAAUUAAAAACAUUACUAGUGGUUUUUAUAAUUCAUAAGUAAUAUACAUACUUGUAUGUGCGUGAAAAUGUAUCCAUAAUUGGUUUGGUACAAUGCACAACAGAUGAAAAUACACUAGCAUAUAUUUAGAAAUUUGCAAAAAAUAGCAUUUUUUAAAGUUUGUGAACCGAUUUUUAUAAAAUAUGUUUUAAAAUAAAGUUCAAUAAUUUAAGCAUACAUGCGUGUUUAAAAUUUUCAAUUUGGUUCUCUCGUUUAGGUACAGUGAGCCAAAAUUAAUCGGCGCGAUAUUAAACUCAACCCCAUUGUUAUGUCGCUGUUUGUUGUAUUAAUUGUGAAAUUUUAUAUUUUUCAAAAUGCGUUCCGCAGUGUUCGGCUGCAAUAAUAAUAAUGGUAAAAAUUGUGCUACGAAAUGGAGAUGUUAAAAAUGCAUGCAUUUGUGAAGGGCACUUCGCGCCAGAAGCCUUCGAAAGAAACUUGCAGUUUGAAAUGGGUUUAAGUUCGCGGAAUCCAACUAAGUUGCUACCUAGCGCUUUUCCCACGUUAACCACUGCUCCGGCAGAGGCUAAUGAACGGCAGAAAAUGAUGGAGUCUCGUUCCUAAAAAUAGAUGUUAACAACAAUGUUGAAGAAUACCGCCCCUGUUGAAGUAAUUCAAGAAGACGAGGUUGGAAAGGCACCUCAAACUGCAGAGAGGAGAUCAUCGAUAAGAAAGACUAGAAAAUACUGCAUUUGGAAACAGAAAUACAAAGGCUGAAUAGUGUUGUUAGAACUUUGAAAAAGUGCAAAAACGAGCAGUUAGCAGAAAUUAAACGUCUUAGGAUUUCCAUUAAAACCGCGGAAUUCCACAGAAAUAAUUUGGAGCCAAAACUUAGCUGCAUUUUCACCAACGGCCAGGUAAUAUUUUUCAAUGUGUGUCAGUUGAUCUAAAUUCCACUGACCCAAUUGAAAAAAUGAUGACUUGGAGAUUCUCAACAACGACGGACUUAAGAAUUUGGCAGGGUACAUCUGCCACAAACUUUGUGCCAAUUCAGAAAGGUUGU
Long non-coding RNA from Bactrocera dorsalis (oriental fruit fly), 1086 nucleotides. RefSeq lists it as uncharacterized. The record is from RefSeq and is a predicted model, not a curated record. The transcript is spliced from 4 exons. NCBI's taxonomy places the organism in Eukaryota, Metazoa, Arthropoda, Insecta, Diptera, Tephritidae.